RNAcentral lists this long non-coding RNA (1176 nucleotides) under Carica papaya (papaya). RNAcentral describes it as "long non-coding RNA (CPAP_LNC015362)". Lineage: Eukaryota; Viridiplantae; Streptophyta; Magnoliopsida; Brassicales; Caricaceae. The record is from RNAcentral.
GGGAUGGACGGCCAGAUUUACUCCCACUUUAAUCGCGAUCGGACGGUCCAAAUUAAAUCGUGAUGGACAGCUGAGAUUAAAAGGGGAAGGUUAUAAAUAACCUUACCCACACCCGACCCCAAACCCUAGCCGCCAGUACCCUCACUGGAGAAGAAGAACCAGUCGCCGGAGGGUUUUCUGACCGCCAAACGAGGUAAAUUUUCUCCCCUUGGCUCGUUUUUCGAUGCUGAAUCCGCUUAUGGCCAAAUCGAAGCCAAAACACUGCCAAAGUCCAGCGGCGGCGCCGCGACUUCCCUCAAUUUUUUGCCUCCGAUGAGGCCCUUUCCGAUUCCUGUUCGAUGUAAUUUUUACACCACUGUGAUCACCGUCCUUUUCUCUACAGGUUGACCAGAGCAAAACAUCAAAUCGCGACUCGCGCCGGAGAAGCCGCCGCACCCGAGAGCUCCGCCGCCGGUAAGUCUCAAUUUUUUGUGGUUUUUUGGCCCACCGAGGGCCCUAGGGUUGUUUUAUCGCAGGAACCAAUGCAAGUUUGGCCAAAUUUGGCCAAAAAUGGCCAACCCGAGGCGGAUUGCUGCCGUAGGUGGCGAUGCCGUCGUCAGAGCACGGCGAAGUCGCCGUACUGGAAUUUCGAUAUUUGCUAAAAAGGGGCCCUGGUUCUGAUUUGGGAUUUUUUGGGAUACGUACAGGUACCGGUAAUGCGUUUCAGUUUCCUGGAGAAAAUUCAGGAAAUUUAGGGACAGCCCGUAGGCGCAUUGUAAAUCCAAUUUCAGACUCCGAAACAAUUAAAGAUUUCUCACCCUAUUUCCUAUCAUGGUAUUAAAGCUCAAUAAAUAAUAAAACGGCAUUUCAUGAAUUAAUACAUGUGUAUAAUUAAUUAAGGUUACUAAUGGAGCCCGAACCUGAUGUAUUUUUCGGUCAGUUGUUGUUUGAUCUAUCUUUCAGUUUUAAAUGCAGUAUGGUAUUUGAUGUAUUUAUUUUAUGGUUUCGUAUACAUGAAUCAUGGUUUCUUUUAUUAUGGUUUGAAUUAUGGUGAACCCGAUGUUGUGUUGUUUUGUUUGGUGUUCAUUAUUAAUUUACGUGUUUGUGUAUGAUUGGAAAAUUGAGACCAAAGGAAAAUGGGAAAAAAAGUUAUGUGAAUUGAUAAAUGGAUAAUGUGGACAGCUUGACUAGAUAUCC